AAUUUAAAUACAAUUCAAUAGCAAACAUUGAAAAAACUAUGACAGUGUAUGUUUUUUUUUUAAUUUGAUGCAAGACAUUCAGUGUCGGGUGAUUGCAGGGAGAUAGGUGCCUGUCUUCAGGUGCAGUGUCUUGUAUGCUGUGGUCAGUCUAAAUUAAUUGAGUCUUGAUGUGUUCCAUUCAGUAGACCUGUGGAAAUAUACUGCAAAGCAUAUACUUGUUUUAAAAACAUGAUUACUAACACCAUUCAAAACAAGACCUGUUUAGUUGAAAGCCCACUCACCACGUCAAGGUACAGGUUAUGGGUGGGGUGUUAGUGAGACAGGACAAGACAAGACAAGACAAGGUGUAGGAGCCAUUUCUAUCCACCUUUUAGUUAGGUUUAUUUUAAUGUUACUUAUUUUAGCCACUUGGGCGAGUAUUGCACUGGGUGUGGCUCGUCACAGGAAAUUGGGUAUAUCUACAGGUGUGAUUACUCAAUUAGGGAAAGGUGUGGAUGGCGGGGAACACACGCCGUCCACACUGAGGCUUAUAGGAUAGCCUCCACACAAGGUUAAUGAAAAAGAAAAGGAUGCUUAGAUACUUUUAAAUAACAAAUGUGUAUAACAGACAUAUGUGACAGACAUACAAACUUCACAGGGACAUACAUAGAACAUGGUAUACAUAUAACAUACAUUUAAAGGGGAAAAUGGAGAGAGAACCAAACUUACCUGUCCCCUUACAAAAAACAGUAAAUACAACCUGUGACGCACGUCUAACCCCAGGUGUGCGCUGACAGAUUGCACGCCGCACUUGGGAACCGUAAAGGACUUCCUACAAGCGCAACGCACGCACUGCUCGCUGACCACACCUGUAAGACAGUAAAAACAAGGCACAUCUUUCUAACCCCAGGUGUGCGCUAACCACACCUGUAAGACAAAGUCUAACCCAUGUGACCGGUGACAGAAGCAAGGCAUGUCUAACUCCAAGUGACUGGCAUUGACUAGGGAACGCCAGCAGCAGGGCACAACUUUACCUUAUCUAACCGAACCUGUAAAGCUACAGUACGACGCAUUUAACCCCAGGUGUCCGCUGACCGAACCUAUAAAGCUACAGUACAACGCAUUUAACCCCAGGUGUCCGCUGACCAAACCUGUAAAGCUUUAUUUUAACGCAGACCAACGAGACGGGGCAGUAGCACCACGCCAUCUGGCUUAAUGCCAUUGAUACAGCUUAAAGUUCUUUCCGUAACACAACUAUGUGCUGUCCAGUCACGACACCACAACGUGUAUGCGUCUGUGGUAAGGGCGUGGAACACGGCUUUGUCCUGUGAAAACAAAAAAACCCAGAGUAAACUUCCACAAAACAAUAACAGAUACUGGUAGGUUGUCAGACUAGAGAGAAAAUAGAAACUACUUACAGUGGAACGUUGUUUGUGAUCUGCAGCAAUCACUGCAACGCACGUAUUCACAAUCUACAAGAAAGAAAAAGAAAUUUGAUGACAACAUGAUAGGAAAAAAGUAAAAUAAAAAUGUAUUUCUAAGUUUUACUUACAUCAUCGGUCAGCCAGUUGAACUCUGGGCCUGCCAGACUGUCUAAGUCGCGAAACGUGGCACGACAACUUCCAAUGCUGAUCAAGACCGCGUCUUUGUCCACAUCAUUGCGGAUCUGUUGCGUCAGUACCUGAUGGAUUGGAAGCAUGUGUACAGAAGUUACACAUAAUGUCCACCCCAAACUACUACUAAAUGGAAAAGACGGUUCACAUGGUAGACUAUAGACCAUUUUACCUUUGCAGCAAAAGGCACAGGAAACUUCUCCUCCAAAGUUAGAGACUACAUACAGAAAAACAGUGAAUGAUUUAAAUAACCAACAGAUCAAAAGAAGAAAGCAGAAGAAACUAAUACAUUGAAACGAACACUAAUACAUUUUAGAAAAUGUACCUCGUCCUCUGAACUUAUGGAGACAGUAGGAAUAUCUGAAAUUGGGAAAAACACACACACACAAACACAAACCAUUCAGCAUCUACUAUACAUAGACAUCUAUGUAUGUA
This is a long non-coding RNA of Clupea harengus (Atlantic herring), 2027 nucleotides long. The record is from Ensembl. NCBI's taxonomy places the organism in Eukaryota, Metazoa, Chordata, Actinopteri, Clupeiformes, Clupeidae.